This 374-nucleotide unclassified non-coding RNA is filed under the name uncultured bacterium. RNAcentral's name for it is "contains 16S-23S intergenic spacer region". The record is from RNAcentral.
UCCGGUUUGUCACCGGCAGUCCCAUUAGAGUGCCCAACUGAAUGUGGCAACUAAUGGCAAGGGUUGCGCUCGUUGCGGGACUUAACCCAACAUCUCACGACACGAGCUGACGACAGCCAUGCAGCACCUGUGUCCAGAUUCUCUUUCGAGCACUCCCGAAUCUCUCCGGGAUUCCUGGCAUGUCAAGGGUAGGUAAGGUUUUUCGCGUUGCAUCGAAUUAAUCCACAUCAUCCACCGCUUGUGCGGGCCCCCGUCAAUUCCUUUGAGUUUCAAUCUUGCGAUCGUACUUCCCAGGUGGAUUACUUAAUGCUUUCGCUCAGACACCAACAGUGUAUCGCUGAUGUCGAGUAAUCAUCGUUUAGGGCGUGGACUAC